UUCGUUUAUUUACAUCUGAAUGUGAAAUUCUAAUGCCAAGAUUCGUCGAACGAAAUAAAAAUAUUUAUUAUUAUUAUAUUUCCUCUAGUUAAAUCGAAGGUAUUUCUAUUCGCUACUAAUAAUUUAAUUUCCCCUUUCGUAUUCUAGAGUAAUGUAUUUAUCGCGGAAAGCAGCACACUCAGGAGGGCUGCUAAAACUGGUUAGAAAAUCAAUCUGUUCGAAAGCCGUUACCGUGGAACAUGAUCAUCAAAAAUCCGAGUUCAUUGUUGAAUUACAUAACGACAAAGCUUUUCUCAGCUACAGUUGCGAUAAACCUAACAGGAUGAUUAUUCUCAAUCACACGGAAGUACCAGCCGUGUUUCGGGGCAAAGGAGUCGGUAAACAACUUGCGGAGACCGCCUUACAAUAUGCACAAGAGAAAAAUUUGAAAGUGAAAAUAAUCUGCGAAUUUGCCAACAAAUACUACAGUGAGAACAAAGAACGUCUGAAAAAUGAUGUAGUUUCUUAAAUCUUAGUUUUUCAUUCAACAGCGGAGCAGCUUCAUGAUCGUGUCUCGUACGCGUUUCAAUAUUUCCUUGUCCAUCGUUUGGAACGUGUAAGAAUAGCGGAAAAAGAUCUGCUCGUACAUGGUGAACUCGUUUUCGGUGGAAAUUUUCCUCAGCAGUAUGGAAAUGUCCUGCAGCGAGAGGUACUUUUUCACCUCAAUCCACUGGUUGUACAGGUAAUCCAGCGUAUACUUGAGA
RNA transcript from Wyeomyia smithii (pitcher-plant mosquito), 743 nucleotides. It is a transcript of the gene named protein NATD1-like, with no coding region annotated. The transcript has 3 exons. The record is from RefSeq and is a predicted model, not a curated record. Lineage: Eukaryota; Metazoa; Arthropoda; Insecta; Diptera; Culicidae.